AAUAAAAAAGUUUUUGUCUUGAUGCUUCUUUCUAAAACGACGAUUUCAAUGGCGAUUCGAUGCUGUUGAAAUUAAAAAUCCAUGGUGGUAAAGACCAAAACAAUUGCUUGAAGAGGUGACUACUGAGGGUUGCAAAUCAAAGAAAAUUGAUUAAUCUGAUUUGGAAACAAAGUCAAACCGACGCUUCAAAACUUGGUAGAUCCACCGGAGAUCUCACCUAUUCCGAUAUCUUUAGAUCAUAUUCUCUAACUUUUUCGUUUAGAUUUUAUAGAUUCUUUACACAACUCUAACAUCGAUCAAGAUCUAAUAAAAAAAAUCUUAACUGUUUUGCAUGUCAAAUCUGAAGGCAUCAAUGAGAAGAAAGAUGAGUUUGAGAUGGUUGUCGAUUUUGUCUUUUCAGAUCUCUUUCUCAUUAGAAGCUUUCGAUGUUUGGAUUUUCAUGUUAGAAGCCAUAGGUUUCUUUGAGGCAGUGUUUUUGGCGGUAGUGGUUCCAACAAGAAGAGGGGCUUCGCUAUUUAUAAUAUGUAUAAGGUUAAAGGGAGAGAUGCAUAGGUUAUUGGGUAAACUUGGGGCGUACUCCAAAUCGUAUCAUACUAUAUUUUCUAAACUAUAAAAUCGAUACCGUCCCCUGUAUAUUAAUCCUGUAGUAUUGCAACAUGUUCAGAAUAUUCAUCAAUCUAAAGAGAGUAAACAAUGUGAUUUUGUAUUUUGAGAUUUUAGAAGCUUGGUUUACGAGUUAAUUAAAGACUCUGGGUAUUGAGACUUUAGUGCUUAAAUCAUUCACAAGAAUUUAUUAAAUAAUUUAUAAGGGCUUGCAAAUUUCAAUUGUUAUUUAGGGUCUGUAGAGUCGAAGCUUAGUUUAAGUACUAGUCAAGAGAGAGGAAAUAGUGAUAGUGGUUGCUAGAGAAUUGUAUUGUCAACAAACAAAGAUCAACGUCAAGAACAUUGUUUCAUAUUAUCAUUAUUUUCAAAAGGUGGACAGAACAUAAGAUGGUUCAUGAUUUAGAGAAGUGUGCAUAACUAUUGUGUUGUAUGACAUUGCUGAAAAAACAUGAAUACACAGGAAAUGAUUUACAACUCUUGUUCAUAGCAUUAAAUUGAGAAAUAACAAGAUUUUGAGGGGUGUGGAGGGGUAGUGAAGACCAAAAGGAGGAAUUUUGGACCUUAGGUAACUAUAUAUAAUGAUAUCACUGGAAUUUGUGCUGAUAGAUUGGAUCAAAGAGCUAAAAGCCAAGCAUGUCCCUGGAGCUUUUCUAAAAGAGCUAAAUGCUGAACAUGUCCCUUGAGCUAUCCUAGAACAGUUUAACAUUGAGAGCAUUCUGGAGCAGUAGUCAUCAAGAGUUAGCUUCCCUUAUGCAGCUUCACCUGUUUUAUCCAUUCCCCCAUCCUUAAUUUGUUCCUCCUUCAAGUGUUUAAUAUUCAGCAAAUUCAAAAUGAUCAUCACAUAUGCCAAGAAAUACACCAUUUGGUAAGCACUUUCUACUAGUGCAAGCCAAUCUGAGCACCAACCAGCGUGAAGUACCAUUUACAAGUGCAUUUAUAGACUUCUCAAGAGCUUCUAAAAGAACAUAUAAACUGCAAUCACAAAACAAAUUCUAGUUCUUGA
Brassica oleracea var. oleracea is the source of this 1606-nucleotide long non-coding RNA. RefSeq lists it as uncharacterized. Lineage: Eukaryota; Viridiplantae; Streptophyta; Magnoliopsida; Brassicales; Brassicaceae. The record is from RefSeq and is a predicted model, not a curated record. The transcript is spliced from 3 exons.